RNAcentral lists this ribosomal RNA (497 nucleotides) under uncultured bacterium. Its description in RNAcentral is "partial 16S ribosomal RNA". It matches the Rfam family "Bacterial small subunit ribosomal RNA", at positions 28 to 507 of the family's 1533-position model. The record is from RNAcentral.
GGUGGACGCUGGCGGCGUGCCUAAUACAUGCAAGUCGAGCGAACGGACGAGAAGCUUGCUUCUCUGAUGUUAGCGGCGGACGGGUGAGUAACACGUGGAUAACCUACCUAUAAGACUGGGAUAACUUCGGGAAACCGGAGCUAAUACCGGAUAAUAUUUUGAACCGCAUGGUUCAAAAGUGAAAGACGGUCUUGCUGUCACUUAUAGAUGGAUCCGCGCUGCAUUAGCUAGUUGGUAAGGUAACGGCUUACCAAGGCAACGAUGCAUAGCCGACCUGAGAGGGUGAUCGGCCACACUGGAACUGAGACACGGUCCAGACUCCUACGGGAGGCAGCAGUAGGGAAUCUUCCGCAAUGGGCGAAAGCCUGACGGAGCAACGCCGCGUGAGUGAUGAAGGUCUUCGGAUCGUAAAACUCUGUUAUUAGGGAAGAACAUAUGUGUAAGUAACUGUGCACAUCUUGACGGUACCUAAUCAGAAAGCCACGGCUAACUACGUG